RNAcentral lists this transfer-messenger RNA (374 nucleotides) under Thalassobaculum litoreum DSM 18839. RNAcentral describes it as "Alphaproteobacteria transfer-messenger RNA". It matches the Rfam family "Alphaproteobacteria transfer-messenger RNA". Rfam says of the family: Bacterial tmRNA, also known as 10Sa RNA or SsrA, is named for its dual tRNA and mRNA-like properties. Its role is to liberate the mRNA from a stalled ribosome. To accomplish this part of the tmRNA is used as a reading frame that ends in a translation stop signal. Lineage: Bacteria; Pseudomonadati; Pseudomonadota; Alphaproteobacteria; Rhodospirillales; Thalassobaculaceae. The record is from Rfam by way of RNAcentral.
ACCCUUUAACAGCCGUUAAGAAGGGCUUAUAUCCUGCGAUGUCGGCUUCGGUCGACUAUGGCGAUAAACGGCGCUCGGAAUAAGCGUUGCGGACCCGGGGGCAGUACCCGGCGCCUCCACCAAAAUCUCCGACCGUUCUGAUGAAGAAUGGCCGGAACGUUUCAUGGGGGCGAAACAGGAUCGACGCGCGUAGUAAAGGACCGCUUUUUGCUCGGGAUGGUACCGCCGUUAUCGGGCCGUAUGAUAGUUGCGAACGACAACUAUGCUGAGGCGCGCCUGGCUGCGUAAUGCAGCUCGGUAGUCUCGACUAAUCCGUUGCGGUUAGCGUCGUAACGUGGGGCUCGCGGGCCGCCUAGCAACAGAAGGCUCGCACU